RNAcentral lists this non-coding RNA (29 nucleotides) under Mus musculus (house mouse). The record is from RNAcentral. Lineage: Eukaryota; Metazoa; Chordata; Mammalia; Rodentia; Muridae.
UGCUUUCCUUGCACGCGGGUGCCGCUCCU